RNAcentral lists this long non-coding RNA (1007 nucleotides) under Homo sapiens (human). Its description in RNAcentral is "long intergenic non-protein coding RNA 1643". The record is from RNAcentral. Lineage: Eukaryota; Metazoa; Chordata; Mammalia; Primates; Hominidae.
AGAAACAGGCAGCCUGACUAGAGAACAAACUACCAAUUAACGAGCGAGGAAACAGGGCCAGAGAAUUGGAACAAAAUACAAGGCUGCCUCUGAAAGGAAUAUCUUUGUGCUGAUGUGUCCAUCAAGAGAACAUACACAGAAGUGACACUUGCCAGUAAUUUGCAAGCAGAUGGAACUUCAAUAUGGCAAUAGAGAAAGAAUCAAUUAGACCAGAGUCUCCUCAGGAAGACUUUCUAUAGGUGGACGGUCCCCUGGAGAGCCCGCUGUGUUGGAAGAUGUAGAAUAUUCAUGUAGAUAUCUGGUGAGCAUCUGCUAGAUGCCAGGGUUGGGGAGAGUCAAGUUGAAGCAAGCAUGAACCCUCAAGGACCUACCAUUUCAAGGCAAGAAAUAGAUACAAAUACAGAAAAUAUUUACUGGAUAGCUACUAGACAUAAGGAUGCAGAAAUGAAUUAGAAAAAUUCCUCGCCCUUGUUCAAAGCUAUGCUGGCUCUUAGAACAUCUGAGCCCCCACUGUUUCAUCUUUAGAGGAUCCCAGCUGCUGGGGUGUGAGGCCAGUGCUGGAGCCAGCAGUCUCUGACCCAGAAGGGACCUGAGGUGCUAAAGAAAAGGGUACAAGCUGGAAAAGGGGAAAAUGAAUCAUGCUACAGGCCAAGUGUCCAUCACUGAUUCCCAGAGAUGCCCUUUGUGUGGUAGGCACUUCCAUGUGGACUCGCUACAGAGGUCAUAAGACCCUAAUUCCAGAGGGCCCUACCCUAUAACCAGAAGGAAGAACUAUUGCACAGAGAAUCUAAGAAGAAUCUAGACAGACAGCCCUUGCUGGAUUUCUCCACUCUGUUAGCAUUCGAUCAUUUGCCUUUUGUCCAGUCAUAUUUCUGCAUGGCUGUCCAUACUUUGUUGAACCUAAGCACAAAAUGGAAAGUUUUCCCUGUAUCUUUGGGUCGUCAUUCUGAAGGCUCCCAUGUUAUGUAAAACUAUGAUCAAAUAAAUAUGCAUGCCUUUUCUCCUAU